GAUCUGACUAAGUGGUUUAGCUGAAAGGUUAACACUGCUUUGGUUGGAUCUUUCCUUCUGGGGAAUUAAUGUGCCCUUUGCUGGGUGCGUUAACAAUCCAGGACUGUUACUUUGAAAAAAUUAGAGUGUUUAAAACAGGCUUAUGUUUGAAUAGAUUAGCAUGGAAUAACGGAAUAGGACUUUGUUUCUAUUGUGUUGGUUUUCAGAAACGAAGUA
This 216-nucleotide ribosomal RNA is filed under the name uncultured fungus. RNAcentral describes it as "partial small subunit ribosomal RNA". The stretch from base 96 to 216 matches the Rfam family "Eukaryotic small subunit ribosomal RNA", at positions 741 to 864 of the family's 1831-position model. The record is from RNAcentral. Lineage: Eukaryota; Fungi.